Molecule: long non-coding RNA, 1184 nt
Filed under: Olea europaea subsp. europaea
Lineage: Eukaryota; Viridiplantae; Streptophyta; Magnoliopsida; Lamiales; Oleaceae
Source: RNAcentral
CUGGGUUCAGUGAAAUGUGAACGGAAUAAGAUUAGAUAUAAUUAAAAUUAAAAUGUACAAAAUAAUGUAGGAUUUUUCUUCCUGGUUUAUAUAGGACAAAUUUUGUUAGGAAACUUUGUGCUUCAUAAAAAGAAUCUAGAAGACGAAAGACGACAAAAAUUAGUAUGAAUUGGAUUUGUCAAAGAAUGGUGAAUUAACUCGGGGUAACUAUAUAUUCAGUCAGUGUCAAUUAAGUAAUUCUAUUUAAGUUUUAUUCAAAUGGGUAAUUACACUUUAAUAUAAUCUCAAUCGAGUAUCUCGAUUCAAUUUCAUCACUUUGAUUGACGAGAGUUGACGACCAAGUAGUCCUUUAGUUUAUUAAAUUGUACUUUUUUCGCUUUAACUAUUAAUUGUUAUGUGUGAUGUCAUCAUUUAUUGACUGUUCUGCUAUUAAUUGUCGAUGAAAUUAGACAAAGUUAUUUGAAUUAAAAUCAAUUUAAAGUAUAGUUACCUGAUUGAAAUCUAAUUAAAGUGGAGUCACUUUAUUGAAAUCAAAUUAAAUUGUAAUUACGUGCCAAAAUUAGACGAAAUAGACAAAAUAGUAUUGAAAUUUCUCUUCGGGUCUAUAUAGGACAAAUUUGUUGAGAAACUUCGUGCUUCAUGCAGCCUAAUUCCGCGUAGAAAAGAAACUAGAAGACGAAAGAGGGAAAGAAAAAUAAAAAAGUAUGAAUUGUAGUUAUCAAAGGUGGGUGAGUUUCAUUUGUAGUACCUAUAUUUUCACUUAGUGUCAAUUAAGUAAUUGUAUUUUAGUUUUAUUCAAUUAGGUAACUACACUUUAAAUUUGAUUUCAAUCGAUGACUCCGUCCUUCCACUUGGAGUGGCGGGACUUCAUGACCUGACGCUAAAAAAAUGAUGAUUGUCUUUUAUUUCAUUAAGUGUUUACUCGGUAAAAUUUUGCUAAAAUAUAAUCAAUAUUUCGACUCAAAAAGUUACGGCUGGCUCAAAAAGUUUCGAAACACAGACUAAAAAUUAUCAUGAGGCCCCUACACAGAAUUUUUUUUACAAGCGUGUUAGCAUCAAACUUCAUCGAAUCAAACAAUUUUUCAUGAUGAGAAAUAUUAUAUCUAUGGUCCUCACUCACCAUUUGAUACAUCCGAUAAUCAAUUUUUGUGUUGAAGAAGGAAAAAUCAUUUUUACCAUUAAAU